This 316-nucleotide ribosomal RNA is filed under the name uncultured bacterium. Its description in RNAcentral is "bacterial SSU rRNA". It matches the Rfam family "Bacterial small subunit ribosomal RNA", at positions 32 to 339 of the family's 1533-position model. The record is from RNAcentral.
AAUCAACGCUGGCGGCGUGCCUCAGACAUGCAAGUCGAACGCGAAAGUCCCCUUCGGGGAGUGAUUAGAGUGGCGCACGGGUGAGUAACACGUAGGUAAUCUACCUUCGAGUGGGGAAUAACUCAGGGAAACUUGAGCUAAUACCGCAUAAUGCAGCGGCACCACAUGGUGACAGUUGUUAAAGCAUUUAUGCGCUUGAAGAGGAGCCUGCGGCGGAUAGUCUAGUUGGUAAGGUAAUGGCUUACCAAGGCUACGAUCUGUAACCGGCCUGAGAGGGCGGACGGUCACACUGACACUGAAUAACGGGUCAGACUCC